GAUAAACGCUGGCGGCGCACAUAAGACAUGCAAGUUGAACGGACUUAAUCGAAAUAUUUAUAUUUUGAAGCGGUUAGUGGCGGACUGGUGAGUAACGCGUAAGGAACCUGCCUAUUAGAGGGGAAUAACAGUGAGAAAUCAUUGCUAAUACCGCAUAUGCCAUAGAUAUCACAUGAUAACAGUGGGAAAGGAGCAAUCCGCUAAUAGAUGGCCUUGCGUCUGAUUAGAUAGUUGGUGGGGUAACGGCCUACCAAGUCGACGAUCAGUAGCCGGACUGAGAGGUUGAACGGCCACAUUGGGACUGAGAUACGGCCCAGACACCUACGGGAGGCAGCAGUCGGGAAUAUUGCGCAAUGGAGGAAACUCUGACGCAGUGACGCCGCGUAUAGGAAGAAGGUUUUCGGAUUGUAAACUAUUGUCGUUAGGGAAGAGAAAGGACAGUACCUAAGGAGGAAGCUCCGGCUAACUACGUG
This 473-nucleotide ribosomal RNA is filed under the name uncultured bacterium. RNAcentral describes it as "partial 16S ribosomal RNA". It matches the Rfam family "Bacterial small subunit ribosomal RNA", at positions 28 to 507 of the family's 1533-position model. The record is from RNAcentral.